RNAcentral lists this long non-coding RNA (1613 nucleotides) under Camelus dromedarius (Arabian camel). RNAcentral describes it as "lncRNA (ENSCDRG00005011194.1)". The record is from RNAcentral. Lineage: Eukaryota; Metazoa; Chordata; Mammalia; Artiodactyla; Camelidae.
AGGAUGGUUGUGGAGCAGGCUGCCCGGGGCUCCAGCCCACCUGACCUCCGCCUGCAGUAUCUCCAUCAGAUCCACGCCAACCAUGAGGUGAGGCCCUUCAGGGCUGCCAUUCCCUGCACCUUCCACCAGCCUGGGGACCAAGGACUGUCCCCGGCCCUCGGGGGACACACACAGGCACUUGGGUGCCGCCCAGCCUGGUGGAGCCUCCCAGUCCUGACAGCCAAGAGUUGGUCUAGGCUCUUCUUGCCAGGGAGGGAGUGGGGGCGGGGACAGGGACAGCGGGCAUGGCCCCACCCCUCCAACCUGCCCCCCCUUGGCAAGGACACUCCUGGGGGCAGGAGGUAUGUCCCCCACAUUAGGGUCACAGGCAAGUGUCUUUCCUGGGUCAGCUACCAUGUCCCGAGUGGGACCUGUGCCUGGCGGUGUCCCCCAGAGGGACCCGCUGACAUGCCCACUGAGAAGGUGGGGGCCUAGCCGCUGCCGCCCCCCCACCUGUAGACGCUGCUGCGGGAGGUGCAGACCCUGCGUGACCGGCUGUGCACGGAGGACGAGGCCAGCUCCUGUGCCACUGCCCAGCGUCUCCUGCAGGUGUACCGACAGCUCCGCAGCCCCAGCCUCCUCCUGCUGUGACACCAGCCACCACGGCCUCCGCACUCAGCCUCAACACUGCCGGGCACCCCCUACCCAGAACACUGGGGCUGGAUCAGCGAUGUCCCUGCAUUCUGACUCCGGGUCCAGACCCCUGAGCAGGAGCACUCUUGCCCGUGCGGCUUGUGCGGCCAGGGAGAGGGGCUUCUGGUUUGAGACUCGGGCGCAUCUGGGUCAGUGGUGUCACAUUCCCACCGCCACGCCCAGAGCCCAGGGCUGCCCCUCUUGGUGGCACCACAGCCCACCCACAGACCUCUUGUCCAGCACCUGCCUACCGCCUGACUGGGCGCCUCAGCCCUGCUUCUCUGCGGCUGCUGGGGUCACCGGGUGGGAGGUGCUCCCUGUGACCAAAGCACAAAGAUGGGGUGGGGGUGUUCCCUGCAGUUACCCUAAGACCAAAACACUCAACAACUGGUGCCUCCAGCUGGGGCCACACCCAGCAUCCAGCACUGUGCACUGUUUCCAAGGGUCCCUCAGGGCGGGCAGCCACCCCCCUUGGCCCCGGUGCUUUUGGGGAGGGUGACUCCCUGGACUUGACACGGUGCUCUCCUGUGUGUGCAGGGCCUGCGAGGCACCCUGCCUCAAAAAGUGACCCUUUCUGUUGCAAUGCCGUGGCCUUGGCUGCUUUUUACCCUCCCCACCUCGGUCAGAUGGCAGUUUCCACCUGGAUUGCUGGUGCCCCCUGCCCCUAGCUCUGCACCCCUGCCAAGUCUGGUGGCCUCUGCACCGCCCAUCCUCUGCACGGAGGCUCUGCUCUCCAUCCCAGGGGCCAGGGCAGCCUACUGCCACACCAACCCCACUCCUGGAGCCCCCCGAGUACUCUUCCCUGCCUCUCUCUCCAGCUGCUGCCCCGGGCUCUGGGGGCUCUGCUGAGUGUCUGAGGCCAAGUGCACUGGCGAAGCUCAGCAAACAGAAACCCCUCUUCAGUGCCCCAUGGAGUCGGGGAGCCCUGAGAGCACCUGAGC